RNAcentral lists this ribosomal RNA (251 nucleotides) under uncultured prokaryote. RNAcentral describes it as "partial 16S rRNA". It matches the Rfam family "Bacterial small subunit ribosomal RNA", at positions 525 to 775 of the family's 1533-position model. The record is from RNAcentral.
ACGUAGGGUGCGAGCGUUAUCCGGAAUCAUUGGGCGUAAAGAGCUCGUAGGCGGGUUGUCACGUCAGUCGUGAAAGCCCGGGGCUUAACCCCGGAACUGCGGUGGGUACGGGCAGACUAGAGUGCAGUAGAGGAGACUGGAAUUCCUGGUGUAGCGGUGAAAUGCGUAGAUAUCAGGAGGAACACCGAUGGCGAAGGCAGGUCUCUGGGCUGUAACUGACGCUGAGGAGCGAAAGCAUGGGGAUCAAACAG